CAGCUGAAUUGGAGAUUGUUCUCUGGAUUCCUUCUUUCCUGUUUCAAAAGACAGUGAUUUGUGUAUCAAGUUCAAGUGACACCUUUAGAUUCUGGUAAGAAUUGCUUUUUGUUCAGUGUGUUAGGAACAACCCUAAACAGAAGGCUUACAGUAAUGCAGCUAUGAGCAAAAUUGUAUGGUUUUCAGCAGACACCUAGCAAAGAGGAUAUACUACAUACUCUAGGCUUAGGAUGUUCUGUUAUGUAAACUUGUCACUGAAUCUGACUUUCACACAUGGCAAAAAAGAGGACUUGACUGUGGGAAAAGUGCCUUGUACCUCUACAAGCUCAGUGUAACUGGGAGGUUGGGUAUUUGGGAAGGAGGCUAAGAAAGGCAGGGCCAAGAGAAUGGUGGCCAGGAGCAGCUGAGAUGGUUGAGGUGUUGAACCUGAAGGCAUGCUUGGUUAGCAGCUCUGACGAUUUGGUGGCAUUUCUAUUAGUAGGGCAAAAACACACAAUGCAACUUUGAUGACGCUGGUACUCAGUAGAUGUGCCAUUGUCUUUCUUUUUAGUGGCCCAAACCUGAAUUUCCAAUAUUUCCUGUGGAGAUGGAUUCCUUUUCAGUAGGCCACCACCUGUCCUUUUAUGUUACAACAUGACAGAUGCUAGCCUUGUCUGAAGAGAAAUGGUAGAUUAGGUGGACUGAAGUCACUGAAAAUCACUAGAAGACUGAACAGAACUAUGUGGAUGUCACUGAAAUGGAGUUUCUGGUGUGGGAGCUUAUUUUAGUGGACAGUAAUAUCAGUGAGAAUCCCAAUUUGAUAGUUAAUCUCCAGGGGUGAACAAAUAUACCUUAUCACUCCUUAUCAACAGCUCUACCACAGUCUUCAUACCCUAUGCUGGAAUAUAGUUUAGCCUUCUUAUUUUUCCCAGUGGAGUGUUUCCUGUACAUGAAGAGAACAGUCAUUCCUCAUCUCAACCAGAAGAAUCUCAUCCCCUUUCCCCUCUCUUCAACAGUGCACAUUAUUCUCACCUAACUGCUCUGCCAUUUGCCAUCGCAGGAGGUAGAAGUUUAGGCUUGGGUGGGAGAGGAGGGUAUUGGAGCGGUCGCCGAUCUCCUGCUGUGGCAUUCUUGGAUAUGUCUGCCUGCUUCCCUCUGUGGGCUCCCUGCAGUGAAAGCCUCCUGUAGUCAUCUCUGGCCUGCCGUGCGAGAGAGCGUCUCUUCUCAUCCGCUGCCUUGGAUUUCCGCACUGGAACAGAAAAGCAGUCAUACAGGAGCAAACAAGCAGGAGACUGGGAAGGCAGAAAAACUGCUGAAAUGACCACAAAUGAAUCCUCCAAAGGAUUUGAAAAUCCUGCAGGGCAUUGCAAAGAGAAGGGAGUGUUGCUGUAACUGUUCUGUGGGGUAGAGAACUUGGCUGGAUAUUAUUUUGUUUGUUUUUUUUCUGAGUAACCAGCUCUCCAGCCUGAGCUAGGCUAGUGCUUUCUGUGCUUUUGUAAACAAAUUCAAUUUUUUAAUUAGAAAAACAAAAGCCUUGGCCUGAAAUGGAGACAAAUGAUAGUACAGCAUUGCCAUCUACUGAACUGUAGGGGAGAAGCUAGGAAAAAAAAGCGUCAAGUUUGCCUUCAAUUUUCCUCCUCUCCAGGAAAGGAAGACGUGAGAAGCAGAACUUUUCAAUUUUUUCUGUGUACUAAGCUUGUGACCCUUUAUUCCAGUCUCUGAGAAAGCUGCACAGCAAGAUUCCCUCAAAAGGAAUCAAGUUGAAAUAUCUUUUUAACUCCGGCUAUGCUGAAAAAUCACCCUUGAGGUAUGUGGUUACUAUGAGAGAUCCUAGAAGGAAAUGUAGUGGUUGUAGCAACUUAAGUAGAGAGUUCAGGACAUACUUGGC
RNAcentral lists this long non-coding RNA (1867 nucleotides) under Gallus gallus (chicken). Its description in RNAcentral is "long non-coding RNA NONGGAT006883". The record is from RNAcentral. Lineage: Eukaryota; Metazoa; Chordata; Aves; Galliformes; Phasianidae.